AAGUUAUGCUUGAGCAGAUAAAAGCUUCUAACUUUUAAUCUAAAAGGUUUAAUUCCUUUUAUAACUUU
RNAcentral lists this transfer RNA (68 nucleotides) under Laeonereis culveri. RNAcentral's name for it is "tRNA-Ser". The record is from RNAcentral. Lineage: Eukaryota; Metazoa; Annelida; Polychaeta; Phyllodocida; Nereididae.